Long non-coding RNA from Salvelinus fontinalis (brook trout), 4662 nucleotides. RefSeq lists it as uncharacterized. The record is from RefSeq and is a predicted model, not a curated record. The transcript is spliced from 3 exons. NCBI's taxonomy places the organism in Eukaryota, Metazoa, Chordata, Actinopteri, Salmoniformes, Salmonidae.
AGACCCGUUAGUUACAAGCACACAGCCGAACCUCCCUCUUGCCACCUUUUUCCCCUCAACCUAUCCCUGUAUUCAUUUUCAUCUUGUAUGUGUCCAUCCAUAAUAUUAAAGCCAAGGCCCUGUUCUGAGGGUCGACGGAAUAUGAUAGUGAAAAUAUAGGGAUUGAUUUAACUGAUGUUCUGUAGGACUAUGAAUGCGUUUUAAAGUCUAGGAAUGAGAGAGGGACAAUCCUCUGGAGUUACCAUACUGUAUCUUACCUAAAGCCUAUGUCUCCCACUGUGUUAAUUUUUUAAUGAGAAACGGGGAAGUGAGCUGAUGUGGGCUGUGCCUUUGUAUAAUGAACAUUUUGUAAAUGAGUUAUGGAAAUGGACAUUAUAUAAAGCAGCUGAGUGAGCCUCCCUUCUGCUUUCCAAUCGGAGGGCUGCCCAGAGGUCAGCCUAAAGGAUUAGGGAAGUGUACAGCUGUGAGAUCCCCUCUGCCUGUGAACCUGAACAGAACACCACAUCAUAUAUCUUUGUCUGGUUGAUGUCAUGUGCCUGUUUGUCUGAAAUGAAUGUGUUAAUGUUGCUGUCUUGGUCCAGGUCUCUCUUGAAAAUGUGAUUUUUAUCUCAAUGAGACUAACCUGGUUAAAUAAGGGUGAUAUAAAUAUACACCAAAUCAGCAGUCCUCGUUGUGGUUGGACACUGUCUCGGAGAACAGUGGAGAGAUAUGUGACAGAUGGUGGCUGGUAGGGGUGCCGAGGGGACAGCGGAGGGGCCCAAGGCAGACUUGGCAGUACCCCCAGUACCCAGUGUUCUUUCCUGCGACUCCUGCACCCCUGCACUACCAUUCACCAUUACUGCUCUGUCCUGUCCUCAUCAGCCUCUGUGAUAGGAAUCUCCCCAAGCACUUUAUAAAACCCAAUAAACCUGGGAGCUUUCUUCCAUUUUAACUGCAGUGUUCAGUGCCCACCUGUUGCAUCUCUGCAGUGGCUGUAGACCUGUGCCAGUUUAACUAUGCAGUGAUGACAUCCCACUGGGUGUAACAGUAUAACUUUAAACCGUCCCCUCGCCCCGACACGGGCGCGAACCAGGGACCCUCUGCACACAUCAACGACGGUCGCUAACUAGCUAGCCAUUUCACAUCCGUUACACUCACCCCCCUUUCAACCUCCUCCUUUUCCGCAGCAACCAGUGAUCCGGGUCAACAGCAUCAAUGUAACAGUAUAACUUUACACCGUCCCCUCGCCCCGACACGGGCGCGAACCAGGGACCCUCUGCACACAUCAACAACGGUUGCUCACGAAGCACGGUCGUUACCCAUCGCUCCACAAAGGCCACGGCUCUUGCAGAGCAAGGGGCAACACUACUUAAGUCUCAGAGCAAGUGACGUAACUGAUUGAAAUGCUACUAGCGCGUACCCGCUAACUAGCUAGCCAUUUCACAUCCGUUACAUGGGCACACACUGGUUGUAUCAAAGUUGUUGCCACGUCAUUUCACUGAAAUGUCCCCACUGGGAUAGCUGUGGAUAAUGUAUAUAAGUGAGACCGAUGUAUACAAACACAGUGUCACCCACAAGCCAAAUGAGGGAAUUAAGUUGUCAGCACAAAUCUUAUGUUAUACCACCCCUGCUGACAUUAUCUGCAAUUACGGAGCCACCAAUUACAUCGCACUAAAUCAUUGAGCCACCCACCAUGACCAGACUAUCCCAAAUGACCAGACCGCUGCUAUGAAGGCCCCAAACUGUUGAGCUAGCAAUUAAAUGAUUUUGCUCCUGUCAUAAGAAACCCCAUUGCUGUUAACAUUAGUUUUUUGUUGUUGUUGUGCCAGGCAGGCAGAAUCUCACAUUCACCUCAGAUUGUCUCCCAGUAGACUAGUGUGUGUAGGUGGCAGCCUCCCCAGUAGUUCUGUGCUGUGCUGUCUCCCAUGCACCCAGGGGAGUAGGGCCACAGACUUGUCAAAUGGCAGGGCUGUAAUGAGAUGUAAUGCCUCUCUCUCUCUCUCUCUCUCUCAUAUAUAUAUAUAUAUAUAUCUCUCUGUCUCUCUCUCUAUCUCUCUCUGUCUCUCUAUCUCUUUCCUAAAGUGAACACUGACCUCCCAGUUGUGCUGCGGUGAUCAGAGCAGAUCUGAUCCCUGCUGCACUCGGCUGCUCUGAACAAAGAUAGUGCUUCAAAGUGCAUUUUUAGAGUGUGACUUCCUCAUUUAAUCAGCACUCGUUGUGAUUUAAAGGGAGAGGAGGAGGAGAGAGGAGUGACUGCAUGGGAUUUGAUUUAUAACAGCCAACUUCCAUGUCAUCGCUUUGAAUUACAGGACUUUUUUUUUAAGUACAAUGUAAAAUAGAUUUUUUUUUUUUUUGAAACCAACGAAGUGGAAUAAAAGGGUUUAAGAUGGAGAGAUUUAAGAUCAAAAGUCUGGCUGAGACAUCACUUCACACAGAUAAUUGCCCUGAUCUCACUGUACAGUAGAGUUAAUGAAAACAAGAGACCAAUUCAUCAUGGGCAUCUCUGAGCGGUCCUUUUCAGGUUCCUUAGAGAGCUUAGUCAGAAGAAACCUGCGGGAGGGAACAGUAAUGUCUCUUACAAUAAACAACAAACCAAAAAAACGCUCGUUUUUUAUUGCACAGUAUGGGGUCAUAAGUAUCUGCUGGCAAUAACUCAAGAUGACGCUAACAAGUUAGUAUGAUACAUCCCCACUAUAUGUAGUUACUUUAAUACUAUUCUGAAGCAACAUUCAUAUGAACUAGGUGAGUAAUCCCAGUUAGCUAUAAUAGGAAUUUCUCCUACCCUUGUGCCGGCUGUGUGCUUUGAUGUGGGACUGGUUAAGGCUCAGGUGCCCACUGUCUACGGCUCGAAUUAUGUGCCUGAACUGACUAACACAACUCCUACCCAUCAACUGCUUAUUGACCAUGGACGCCCCUUGACCACCAUGGAUGAUGGUCCUCCUACACACGACAAGACGUCAUCACAGCCUCAAGCCCAGGCAGCAAGAAAUAGUCCGGCCGUUGCUGGGGAAAUGGACGAGUCACUCCUACGAGAGGAGAAUUGUAGGAGCAAGGAGCAGCUGGACUCCCAGGAAUUGCCCAUCCUUCCUCGGCCCCCAGGAACAUAUUGGCUCAUUAAAGCAGACUUCCUGUAUCCUCAGUACAGCAGAGACAGUAUGGGUGACUAGGGACUGUGACUUUUAUAAAAGCACCUAUAGGGAACACAUAAAGACUACAUGGGGGCUAGGAGGGAUAUUAUGGAAGAGGUGGGACUUAUUCAUGACUUCAACAAAUAACACCAUAUCUUAUCCAAGGUUUCUUGUAGUUCACUUUAUUUGGAAUGUGCUGUGACUCAUAACACUGAAAGAACAUAGGAAGUGAAAUGACACUAGGAAAAGAGCAACUUCCUUCUGGAGUCCUGUACGUCUUGUUUUGAAAUGGAUUUCUGACAGCGAUUCACACAUUCAUUGCGAUGAAUGAAUGGAUAUACAUCCACUUCGUUGACUCUGGACACUUGGAUUCUACUUUUCUGUGCAUCCAGUUGCAGGGUUGUACGUUCUGAUGCCUCCCUGUCGGUGUCAGGGUUUCCGCUAUGAAAUACUGAUUAUCAAAAGGCUAUUGGCUAAAUGCAGUCACUGUGUUAGUUAAAUUCAUUCACAAUGUUCAUUCACAAAAGCAUUCUAUAACAGUUACUUCAUACAAAAUACUGCACAGAGUCACAUUACUGCAAUGUGUUUUAAAUUACAUUUCUAGGGAGGGGGGUGGUACUUAUUGUCUUGACUUUCCAUAAAUAUAUGGCCUACAUUCCUUGUUUAUACAAGGAAGUGAAACAUUAGGGUUUUCUUUUGAUUUCACUGUGUGUAAUCAUGAUUGCAGUGUACAGUAUAAGCACUAUGAAAGUUAUUGAAACCCGUUUUUAUUUUGAACCUGAUAUUUGAUGCUCGUUAUUAGAUUGUUCCCAUGCUAGAUUAACCAAAACACACACACACACACACACACACACACACACACAUUGUGGCUUGCAUUACAGGAGCCAGGAUUCAAUACGUGUACCUUAUAAGGAUAAUGGUUGUGUACACGUUAGUAAAUUAGACCAGUUGUUCAUAUGUUAGUCCCAACAUCCAAGCCAUGUGUGCAUGCUCAUCGGAAAGCCAUCUUAAUAUGGAAAACACUUAAAUGCAGCUGGUGUGAGACCACAUGACAGUUCAACAAUGAUCAUUUUCUUGUGUUUUCAAUUUCUGUUGUGAUAUUUUGAUUUAGUAUAAGCUUAGCUUGUUUGCAUGUGUUGGAUUACUUUCAUCCCAACAUUUUGUUAGUUGACUACUCUGCAAGCUGCGUUCCAGUAAGGGAUAAAUAAUGUCAAAUUCAUGAUCUUAUUUGAUGGAAUAUUGAUUGAAUGAUGAAUUACUUUGUACAUGAACAAAUAUGUAGAACUAAUGUUUAUUCGUUUGAGGAAUAUUUUUUGUAAACUUUUUAUCGAUCGUGUACUUUUUCCCCAAUGUUUUAGUAAUUCAGUCAGCGCAGAAACAUUGCUGCUACAAGUCUUGAUGUAUUUAUUUGAUAUUUUCACACACUUGCAAGCGAACAGAAAAGCUUAGAAGUAAACGUGUUUUUACCUGCAUAAUUAAAAAUCAAUAUUGUCUGUUAACCUCAUGAUUUACCAUCCUUUAUAAUUCAAUUAAAUUGAUAAGAAUGUGAAAAUGA